Molecule: long non-coding RNA, 461 nt
Organism: Hordeum vulgare subsp. vulgare (domesticated barley)
Lineage: Eukaryota; Viridiplantae; Streptophyta; Magnoliopsida; Poales; Poaceae
Exons: 2
Source: RefSeq, a predicted model, not a curated record
UGUAGGAAGCAUACAUUGAGAGAAGGAAAACAUCAACAGAGAAUAAGUAAUAGCAAGCCAGAUUGAUCAUGUCACUUGUCAAGAACGACACACAUAUUCUCUAUUUCGUUGCUCUUCUCUUGACGUGCACCACUUUUUUGUGUCGCCCUGCUAUAGCAGUAUUGGAUAUAGGUACCAAGGUUCCACUUGGAAAACUAUGCUUUAGUUUUCCAGUGUGCGCGAGACCAUCUGACUUUGUCAUGCUUAACUGCAACAUAAAGUGUGAACUGCUUGGCUAUGGCGAGAACAAAGGCCACUGCGUUAAGAGCAAUGGAGGAUUGUACUGCUGCAUCCCUUCCUAAAGUGAAUGUCAUGUUAAACCAUAAUGUUAGAAAAUCAUUCCAUGUAAUUGUUAGACUUAUUACCAAUUUAUGUGGAUCAUACACAAAAUUCAAUAAAGUAUACCAGUAGUUGCUUUCGAA